This 416-nucleotide unclassified non-coding RNA is filed under the name soil metagenome. RNAcentral's name for it is "partial contains 5.8S ribosomal RNA, internal transcribed spacer 2, and large subunit ribosomal RNA". The stretch from base 1 to 120 matches the Rfam family "5.8S ribosomal RNA", at positions 35 to 154 of the family's 154-position model. The record is from RNAcentral.
GAUGAAGAACGUAGCGAAAUGCGAUAAGUAAUGUGAAUUGCAGAAUUCAGUGAUUCAUCGAAUCUUUGAACGCACCUUGCACUCCUUGGUAUUCCGAGGAGUACGCCUGUUCGAGUGUUAUGAAGCUCUCAAAACGCAAUUGGCUUAAAACCUGAUUGUUGUUUUGGAUUUGAACUUUGCCGUGUUAUAACGGCUGGUUUUAAAAGUAUUAGCUGGUACUAGAACGAAUUGGUUCUACUCAACGUGAUAAUUAUCUGAUCGUUGAGGACAUUCCUUUCACGAGGAAUGGCCAUAGUAAAUUCAAUGGACUGCUUCUAAUCUGGCUUUAAUUCUUUAUUGGAUUAACCACUUUUCAAAUCUGACCUCGAAUCAGGUGGGACUACCCGCUGAACUUAAGCAUAUCAAUAAGCGGAGGA